UACAGAGACUGCGAGCGUUAUUCGGAUUCACUGGGCGUAAAGGGUGCGCAGGCGGCCGAGUGUGUGAGGCGUGAAAGCCCGGGGCUUAACCCCGGAAUUGCACCUCAAACUACACGGCUAGAGCAUUGGAGAGGGUAGCAGAAUUCAUGGUGUAGCAGUGAAAUGCGUAGAUAUUGGGAGGAACACCAGUGGCGAAGGCGGCUCACUGGACCGGAACUGACGCUGAGGCGCGAAAGCGUGGGGAGCAAACAGG
RNAcentral lists this ribosomal RNA (253 nucleotides) under uncultured bacterium. RNAcentral's name for it is "partial 16S ribosomal RNA". It matches the Rfam family "Bacterial small subunit ribosomal RNA", at positions 524 to 776 of the family's 1533-position model. The record is from RNAcentral.